Molecule: long non-coding RNA, 251 nt
Organism: Rhea pennata
Lineage: Eukaryota; Metazoa; Chordata; Aves; Rheiformes; Rheidae
Exons: 3
Source: RefSeq, a predicted model, not a curated record
GAGCAGCUGCUCUUUCCUGUUGAACUCGGGAAAGAUCUCUGCUGUCCUGAAGCAUCUGAGCCUGAGGAGUUCGGACAACUGCCACAUCGCACGAGUGGCCUGAAGUCACUUUGAACGGUGUUCCUAGUGUGCAGUCAUGACUCCCUUUACAUGCUAUGCUUGCCAGGAUCCUUGCAACAAAAGUGGUACCCUUCACUAAGAACUUUAGAAAGCCAAAAUAACUUUGGUGCAAAACCUUCCAGGAUGUCCAA